This 497-nucleotide ribosomal RNA is filed under the name uncultured bacterium. Its description in RNAcentral is "partial 16S ribosomal RNA". It matches the Rfam family "Bacterial small subunit ribosomal RNA", at positions 28 to 507 of the family's 1533-position model. The record is from RNAcentral.
GACGAACGCUGGCGGCGUGCCUAAUACAUGCAAGUUGAGCGCUGAAGGUUGGUACUUGUACCAACUGGAUGAGCAGCGAACGGGUGAGUAACGCGUGGGGAAUCUGCCUUUGGGCGGGGGACAACAUUUGGAAACGAAUGCUAAUACCGCAUAAAAACUUUAAACACAAGUUUUAAGUUUGAAAGAUGCAAUUGCAUCACUCAAAGAUGAUCCCGCGUUGUAUUAGCUAGUUGGUGAGGUAAAGGCUCACCAAGGCGAUGAUACAUAGCCGACCUGAGAGGGUGAUCGGCCACAUUGGGACGGAGACACGGCCCAAACGCCUACGGGAGGCAGCAGUAGGGAAUCUUCGGCAAUGGACGAAAGUCUGACCGAGCAACGCCGAGUGAGUGAAGAAGGUUGUCGGAUCGUAAAACUCUGUUGGUAGAGAAGAACGUUGGUGAGAGUGGAAAGCUCAUCAAGUGACGGUAACUACCCAGAAAGGGACGGCUAACUACGUG